GGGGCAGCAUGGCUCAGGAGGUAGAGUGGGCGGCCUUGGAAUCAGAAGGUUCCCGGUUCGAUCCCCGGCUCCUCCA
Molecule: non-coding RNA, 76 nt
Organism: Gymnothorax javanicus (giant moray)
Lineage: Eukaryota; Metazoa; Chordata; Actinopteri; Anguilliformes; Muraenidae
Source: the annotation of a GenBank genome assembly